GAGAGCUUAGUUCAGUUGGUAGAGCCGUUGGUCGUGGGUUCGAGCCCCACAGUUCUCA
This 58-nucleotide transfer RNA is filed under the name Weissella confusa. Its description in RNAcentral is "tRNA-OTHER". It matches the Rfam family "tRNA". Rfam says of the family: Transfer RNA (tRNA) molecules are approximately 80 nucleotides in length. Lineage: Bacteria; Bacillati; Bacillota; Bacilli; Lactobacillales; Lactobacillaceae. RNAcentral also lists the same sequence under 1 other name. The record is from RNAcentral.